AAUAAUGGAGUGCUUCAUGGUACUGAAGGAAGCAAGAGCUCUGCAAAUAGAGGAAAGUGUCUUACAUUGGUUACUGAGAUGUUCAAAAGGGUUGCCUAUUACAUGCCAAAGAAAGCAACUGAAAGCAGGAGAAAUUGCCAAAUCCCUCAGAAUAAAUGAAAGAAAUGUCCAAGCAACAGAGGAUGAUGUGGCCUGGCCUGGGCUAUCAUUAAGUGGAAAGAUGUGAAGCAUACCUCUUAUGUGGAAUUCUCAGCCCAGUGAUCUGAAAAGUCAAAAGAGGGAAGCACGACUAGCCACCAUUGGUAUGAGGAAACCCAGGCCACAUGGAGAAAUCCUGCGGUGUUCCAGUUGACAGCCCCAGAAAAGCUCCCAGGUGACAGACAGCACCAAUUGCCAGACAUGUGAGUGAACAAGCCUUCAGAGAAGUUUUCAGCCCCUGGCAUGGGUGUCUUCCAUCAAGGGCCACAGUCAUCAUGGAGGAGACA
Molecule: long non-coding RNA, 485 nt
Filed under: Homo sapiens (human)
Lineage: Eukaryota; Metazoa; Chordata; Mammalia; Primates; Hominidae
Description: HSALNT0305979
Source: RNAcentral